This 500-nucleotide ribosomal RNA is filed under the name uncultured bacterium. Its description in RNAcentral is "partial 16S ribosomal RNA". It matches the Rfam family "Bacterial small subunit ribosomal RNA", at positions 28 to 507 of the family's 1533-position model. The record is from RNAcentral.
GACGAACGCUGGCGGCGUGCUUAACACAUCCAAGUCGAACGGGUCUGCCCUGUUUUUUGCGGGGUGGGUCAGUGGCGAACGGGUGAGUAACACGUGAGUAACCUGCCCCUCACUUCUGGAUAACCGCUUGAAAGGGUGGCUAAUACGGGGUGUUCUGGCUGUGCCGCAUGGUGUGGCUGGGAAAGAUUCACUUUUGUGGUGUUUUGGUGGGGGAUGGGCUCGCGGCCUAUCAGCUUGUUGGUGGGGUGAUGGCCUGCCAAGGCUUUGACGGGUAGCCGGCCUGAGAGGGUGGGCGGUCACACUGGGACUGAGAUACGGCCCAGACUCCUGCGGGAGGCAGCAGUGGGGGGUAUUGCACAAUGGGCGGAAGCCUGAUGCAGCGACGUCGCGUGAGGGAUGGAGGCCUUCGGGUUGUGAACCUCUUUCGCCGGUGAAGAAGGUCCUGCUCUUUGUGGUGGGGUUGACGGUAGCCGGGUUAUGAAGCGCCGGCUAACUACGUG